CCUACGGGAGGCAGCAGUAGGGAAUAUUGCUCAAUGGGGGAAACCCUGAAGCAGCAACGCCGCGUGGAGGAUGAAGGUUUUCGGAUUGUAAACUCCUUUUGUUAGAGAAGAUAAUGACGGUAUCUAACGAAUAAGCACCGGCUAACUCCGGGCCAGCAGCCGCGGUAAUACGGCGGGUGCAAGCGUUACUCGGAAUCACUGGGCGUAAAGAGCGCGUAGGCGGGGUAGCAAGUCAGAUGUGAAAUCCUAUGGCUUAACCAUAGAACUGCAUUUGAAACUGUUAUUCUAGAGUAUGGGAGAGGUAGGCGGAAUUCUUGGUGUAGGGGUGAAAUGCGUAGAGAUCAAGAGGAAUACUCAUUGCGAAGGCGACCUGCUAGAACAUAACUGACGCUGAUGCGCGAAAGCGUGGGGAGCAAACAGGAUUAGAUACCCCGGUAGUC
This 440-nucleotide ribosomal RNA is filed under the name uncultured bacterium. Its description in RNAcentral is "partial 16S ribosomal RNA". It matches the Rfam family "Bacterial small subunit ribosomal RNA", at positions 338 to 795 of the family's 1533-position model. The record is from RNAcentral.